UACGUAGGUGGCAAGCGUUAUCCGGAAUUACUGGGCGUAAAGCGCACGCAGGCGGUCUUUUAAGUUUGACGUGAAAGCUCCCGGCUUAACUGGGAGAGGUCGUUGAAGACUGGAAGACUUGAGGCAAUGAGAGGGGUGUAGAAUUCCCGGUGUAGUGGUGGAAUGCGUAGAUAUCGGGGGGAAUACCAGUGGCGAAAGCGGCACCCUAGCAUUAGCCUGACGCUCAUGUGCGAAAGCGUGGGGAGCGAACAGG
RNAcentral lists this ribosomal RNA (253 nucleotides) under uncultured bacterium. RNAcentral describes it as "partial 16S ribosomal RNA". It matches the Rfam family "Bacterial small subunit ribosomal RNA", at positions 524 to 776 of the family's 1533-position model. The record is from RNAcentral.